Dicentrarchus labrax (European seabass) is the source of this 467-nucleotide long non-coding RNA. RefSeq lists it as uncharacterized. NCBI's taxonomy places the organism in Eukaryota, Metazoa, Chordata, Actinopteri, Moronidae. The record is from RefSeq and is a predicted model, not a curated record. The transcript has 2 exons.
AUGUCUUAAGCCUACUCUUAAAUGUGGAGAGGGUGUCUGCCUCCCGAACCACAACUGGAAGCUGGUUCCACAGGAGAGGAGCUUGGUAACUGAAGGCUCUGGCUCCUGUUCUACUUUUAGAGACUAUAGGAACCACAAGUAGCCCAGCAUUCAGAGAACAUAGUGUUCUAGUGGGGUAAUAGGGUACUAUGAGCUCUUUAAGAUAUGAAGGGGCCUGACCAUGAAGAGCUUUAUAGGUGAGGAGGAGGAUUUUAAAUUCAAUUUUACAUUUUACAGGGAGCCAGUGCAGAGAAGCUAGUACAGGAGAGAUGUGAUCUCUUUUUCUAGUUCCUGUCAGUACUCGUGCUGCAGCGUUCUGAAUUAAUUGGAGCGUUUUAAUGGACUUAUUGGGGCAACCUGAUAAUAAAGAGUUGCAGUAAUCCAGCCUUGAAGUAACAAAUGCAUGGAUUAGUUUUUCUGCAUCUGUC